RNAcentral lists this ribosomal RNA (306 nucleotides) under uncultured Planctomycetota bacterium. RNAcentral's name for it is "bacterial SSU rRNA". It matches the Rfam family "Bacterial small subunit ribosomal RNA", at positions 29 to 351 of the family's 1533-position model. The record is from RNAcentral. Lineage: Bacteria; Pseudomonadati; Planctomycetota.
AAUGAACGUUGGCGGCGUGGAUUAGGCAUGCAAGUCGUGCGAGAACCGUAGCAAUACGGGGACAGCGGCGUAAGGGAGAGGAAUACGCGGGUACCUACCCUCGGAUCUGGGAUAGCCACGGGAAACUGUGGGUAAUACCAGAUGACGUCUUCGGACCAAAGGUGUGAUUCCGUCCGAGGAGGGGCCCACGUCCUAUUAGCUAGUUGGUGAGGUAACGGCUCACCAAGGCGAAGAUGGGUAUGGGAUGUGAGAGCAUGAUCCCACUCACUGGGACUGAGACACUGCCCAGACACCUACGGGAGGCAG